CGUCCGUACCGCUACCGGCACAGGUAGAUGAGAUGAGUAUUCUAAGGCGCCAGAAAGAACUCUGGUUAAGGAACUCUGCAAACUAGCACCGUAAGUUCGCGAUAAGGUGUGCCGCAGCAAUGCGGUCUCAGCAAAGAGUCCCUCCCGACUGUUUACCAAAAACACAGCACUUUGCCAACUCGUAAGAGGAAGUAUAAGGUGUGACGCCUGCCCGGUGCUCGAAGGUUAAGAGGAUGCGUCAGUCGCAAGAUGAAGCGUUGAAUUGAAGCCCGAGUAAACGGCGGCCGUAACUAUAACGGUCCUAAGGUAGCGAAAUUCCUUGUCGGUUAAAUACCGACCUGCAUGAAUGGCGUAACGAGAUGGGAGCUGUCUCAACCAGAGAUUCAGUGAAAUUGUAGUGGAGGUGAAAAUUCCUCCUACCCGCGGCAAGACGGAAAGACCCCGUGGACCUUUACUACAACUUAGCACUGCUAACGGGAAUAUCAUGCGCAGGAUAGGUGGGAGGCUUUGAAGUAAGGGCUUUGGCUCUUAUGGAGCCAUCCUUGAGAUACCACCCUUGAUGUUUCUGUUAGCUAACUGGCCUGUGUUAUCCACAGGCAGGACAAUGCUUGGUGGGUAGUUUGACU
Molecule: ribosomal RNA, 626 nt
Filed under: Helicobacter pylori
Lineage: Bacteria; Pseudomonadati; Campylobacterota; Epsilonproteobacteria; Campylobacterales; Helicobacteraceae
Description: bacterial LSU rRNA
Rfam family: Bacterial large subunit ribosomal RNA
Source: RNAcentral